Molecule: small nucleolar RNA, 90 nt
Filed under: Rhinocladiella mackenziei CBS 650.93
Lineage: Eukaryota; Fungi; Ascomycota; Eurotiomycetes; Chaetothyriales; Herpotrichiellaceae
Description: A. fumigatus snoRNA Afu_455
Rfam family: A. fumigatus snoRNA Afu_455
Source: Rfam by way of RNAcentral
CUCUGUGAUGACUCCAUGACACGAAAGGCAUUCCUCAAACUUAAUACCCAUGUCGAACCUGUCUAUUAUAAGUUUCAGCCUUGUCUGAUU